This 465-nucleotide ribosomal RNA is filed under the name Vreelandella stevensii. RNAcentral describes it as "partial 16S ribosomal RNA". It matches the Rfam family "Bacterial small subunit ribosomal RNA", at positions 338 to 795 of the family's 1533-position model. Lineage: Bacteria; Pseudomonadati; Pseudomonadota; Gammaproteobacteria; Oceanospirillales; Halomonadaceae. The record is from RNAcentral.
CCUACGGGAGGCAGCAGUGGGGAAUAUUGGACAAUGGGCGAAAGCCUGAUCCAGCCAUGCCGCGUGUGUGAAGAAGGCCUUCGGGUUGUAAAGCACUUUCAGUGGGGAAGAAAGCCUUGGGGCUAAUACCCUCGAGGAAGGACAUCACCCACAGAAGAAGCACCGGCUAACUCCGUGCCAGCAGCCGCGGUAAUACGGAGGGUGCGAGCGUUAAUCGGAAUUACUGGGCGUAAAGCGCGCGUAGGCGGUCUGAUAAGCCGGUUGUGAAAGCCCCGGGCUCAACCUGGGAACGGCAUCCGGAACUGUCAGGCUAGAGUGCAGGAGAGGAAGGUAGAAUUCCCGGUGUAGCGGUGAAAUGCGUAGAGAUCGGGAGGAAUACCAGUGGCGAAGGCGGCCUUCUGGACUGACACUGACGCUGAGGUGCGAAAGCGUGGGUAGCAAACAGGACUAGAUACCCCGGUAGUC